Molecule: ribosomal RNA, 481 nt
Filed under: uncultured bacterium
Lineage: Bacteria
Description: partial 16S ribosomal RNA
Rfam family: Bacterial small subunit ribosomal RNA
Source: RNAcentral
GAUGAACGCUGGCGGCGUGCCUAACACAUGCAAGUCGAACGGAGAUUACGGACGGAAGUUUUCGGAUGGAAGCCUGUAAUUCUUAGUGGCGGACGGGUGAGUAACGCGUGGGCAACCUGCCCUAUACAGGGGGAUAGCAGCUGGAAACGGCUGGUAAGACCGCAUAAGUCGGUUAAAUCGCAUGAUUUGAUCGGGAAAUGAGCAAUCAGGGAUAGGAUGGGCCCGCGUCCGAUUAGCCAGUAGGCAGGGUAAAAGCCUACCAAAGCGACGAUCGGUAGCCGGACUGAGAGGUCGGACGGCCACAUUGGGACUGAGCCACGGCCCAGACUCCUACGGGAGGCAGCAGUGGGGGAUAUUGCACCAUGGCGGAAACUCUGAUGCAGCGACGCCGCGUGAGUGAAGAAGUAUUUCGGUAUGUAAAGCUCUAUCAGCAGGGAAGAUGAUGACGGUACCUGACUAAGAAGCCCCGGCUAACUACGUG